RNAcentral lists this long non-coding RNA (519 nucleotides) under Mytilus galloprovincialis (Mediterranean mussel). The record is from RNAcentral. Lineage: Eukaryota; Metazoa; Mollusca; Bivalvia; Mytilida; Mytilidae.
GGGGCGUAGCUGAGUUGAAAUAAAGUGCAAGCAUAUAUCGCAGAGCGGAGCGAGACGAAAUUUUUUUUGGACCAUUUUAUGAUGAAAAUGAUAAAUACCCUAUCUGUUUCUUACUAUACCAUAUUUCAAGAAACGAUAGUAACAUCCUAGUGGGUUUCGUAAUUUGGAAACCCGGGAACAGAUAAGACACAAAAUGACAAGCAAAAACUUUCAACAUUGAAAACUAACUACAGAUGAAAAACACGGACGAAUUAGAUAAAACGUUUUGGCUUUCGUUAUCCGCUGCCUUCUUGCUAAAAUAAAAAUCUAGCUUCUUCAUUUUUAUUUUGAUUUCUACCGGGGUUAAACUUUGUGUCGUGAUUGUAGUUGCAAGUACAGACACCGCCAGACACGAUAAUCCGGAAAGACUAAAGACUAUCCGAAAUUCAAUUUCAGGAUUUUUUUUUUUUUUUUUUUGUGAAAAACAUGUGCAAGCAAAUGAUUUUUUGCGUAAAGGCAGCUACGCGCCUGCAAUGUAUA